CGGUCGGAAUAGGGGGGUAAAUUCCUUCCCUUAGAUGGAACUGCUAUGUAGACUUUUGUUUACCGAGGGUUCGAAUCCCUCUCUUUCCGU
RNAcentral lists this transfer RNA (90 nucleotides) under Pyrus calleryana (callery pear). RNAcentral describes it as "tRNA-Leu". The record is from RNAcentral. Lineage: Eukaryota; Viridiplantae; Streptophyta; Magnoliopsida; Rosales; Rosaceae.